RNAcentral lists this ribosomal RNA (491 nucleotides) under uncultured bacterium. RNAcentral describes it as "partial 16S ribosomal RNA". It matches the Rfam family "Bacterial small subunit ribosomal RNA", at positions 29 to 507 of the family's 1533-position model. The record is from RNAcentral.
AGUGAACGCUGGCGGUAGGCCUAACACAUGCAAGUCGAACGGCAGCACAGUAAGAGCUUGCUCUUACGGGUGGCGAGUGGCGGACGGGUGAGGAAUACAUCGGAAUCUACUUUUUCGUGGGGGAUAACGUAGGGAAACUUACGCUAAUACCGCAUACGACCUACGGGUGAAAGCAGGGGAUCUUCGGACCUUGCGCGAUUGAUGAGCCGAUGUCGGAUUAGCUAGUUGGCGGGGUAAAGGCCCACCAAGGCGACGAUCCGUAGCUGGUCUGAGAGGAUGAUCAGCCACACUGGAACUGAGACACGGUCCAGACUCCUACGGGAGGCAGCAGUGGGGAAUAUUGGACAAUGGGCGCAAGCCUGAUCCAGCCAUACCGCGUGGGUGAAGAAGGCCUUCGGGUUGUAAAGCCCUUUUGUUGGGAAAGAAAAGCAGCAGGUUAAUACCCCGCUGUUCUGACGGUACCCAAAGAAUAAGCACCGGCUAACUUCGUG